AUGAAGCCGAGCGCCGCCGUCCUGGCCGCCAUCGUGGCGCUGCUCUUGGUCUCCGCCGUGCGGGGCGAUGACGCCUGCAGGUCGCCGGAGUCGGCGGCUCAGGACCGCGCGCGGGCAAACCCUCUCAAAAUCGCGGCCUUCUUCUCCAUCCUGGUUUGCGGGGCGAUGGGCUGCUCCCUGCCCGUGCUGGGGCGGCGCGUGCCCGCGCUCCGGCCCGAAGGCGACGUCUUCUUCCUGGUCAAGGCUUUCGCGGCGGGGGUCAUCCUCGCAACGGGGUUCAUCCACAUCCUCCCUGAUGCGUUCGACAACCUCACGUCGGACUGCCUGCCUUCUGACGGGCCGUGGAAGGACUUCCAGUUCCCGUUCGCCGGGUUAGGAGCCAUGGUUGGCGCCAUCGGCACGCUCGUCGUCGACACCGUCGCCACGGGGUACUUCACGCGCGCCCACUUGAACAAGGACGGAGCCAACGCGGCGAUAAGUAGCAACGCCGCCGGCGUGGACGAGGAGAAACAGGCUGCUGCCGAGGAAGCGCGCCAUCACGACGGCGAGGAGCACGACGUACACGUGCACACGCACGCGACGCACGGACACGCCCACGGGUCGGCGGCGCUCGUGGCAGCCGUUGGCGGGGCAGAUGACGAAAAGGACACGAUCCGGCAUCGCGUAAUCUCUCAGGUACUUGAGUUGGGUAUUGUGGUGCACUCGGUGAUCAUCGGCAUCUCCCUCGGCGCGUCUCAGAACCCUGAAACAAUCAAACCUCUUGUGGCCGCCUUGAGCUUCCACCAGAUGUUCGAGGGAAUGGGCCUUGGUGGCUGCAUAGUCCAGGCAAAGUUCAAGGCUAGGUCCAUCGUGAUCAUGAUCCUCUUCUUCUGCUUGACAACGCCGGUGGGAAUCCUCAUUGGCUUUGGCAUAUCACGGGUGUACAACAAGAACAGCCCGACGGCGCUGGUGGUGGAGGGCAGCCUCAACUCCGUGGCAGCGGGGAUCCUCAUCUACAUGGCCCUCGUCGACCUCCUCGCCGCGGACUUCAUGAACCCCAAGGUGCAGAGCAGGGGGAAGCUGCAGCUUGGCAUCAACGUCUCCAUGCUGGUUGGUGCAGGCCUCAUGUCCAUGCUCGCCAAAUGGGCCUAG
RNAcentral lists this ribosomal RNA (1131 nucleotides) under Triticum aestivum (bread wheat). RNAcentral's name for it is "partial small subunit ribosomal RNA". Lineage: Eukaryota; Viridiplantae; Streptophyta; Magnoliopsida; Poales; Poaceae. The record is from RNAcentral.